Molecule: ribosomal RNA, 491 nt
Filed under: uncultured bacterium
Lineage: Bacteria
Description: partial 16S ribosomal RNA
Rfam family: Bacterial small subunit ribosomal RNA
Source: RNAcentral
GAUUGAACGCUGGCGGCAGGCCUAACACAUGCAAGUCGAACGGUAACCGGAAACAGCUUGCUGUUUCGCUGACGAGUGGCGGACGGGUGAGUAAUGUCUGGGAAACUGCCUGAUGGAGGGGGAUAACUACUGGAAACGGUAGCUAAUACCGCAUAACGUCGCAAGACCAAAGAGGGGGACCCUCGGGCCUCUUGCCAUCGGAUGUGCCCAGAUGGGAUUAGCUUGUUGGUGGGGUAACGGCUCACCAAGGCGACGAUCCCUAGCUGGUCUGAGAGGAUGACCAGCCACACUGGAACUGAGACACGGUCCAGACUCCUACGGGAGGCAGCAGUGGGGAAUAUUGCACAAUGGGCGCAAGCCUGAUGCAGCCAUGCCGCGUGUAUGAAGAAGGCCUUCGGGUUGUAAAGUACUUUCAGCGGGGAGGAAGGGAGUAAAGUUAAUACCUUUGCUCAUUGACGUUACCCGCAGAAGAAGCACCGGCUAACCCCGUG